Molecule: ribosomal RNA, 491 nt
Filed under: uncultured bacterium
Lineage: Bacteria
Description: partial 16S ribosomal RNA
Rfam family: Bacterial small subunit ribosomal RNA
Source: RNAcentral
GUGAACGCUGGCGGUAGGCCUAACACAUGCAAGUCGAACGGCAGCACAGUAAGAGCUUGCUCUUACGGGUGGCGAGUGGCGGACGGGUGAGGAAUACAUCGGAAUCUACUUUUUCGUGGGGGAUAACGUAGGGAAACUUACGCUAAUACCGCAUACGACCUACGGGUGAAAGCAGGGGAUCUUCGGACCUUGCGCGAUUGAAUGAGCCGAUGUCGGAUUAGCUAGUUGGCGGGGUAAAGGCCCACCAAGGCGACGACCCGUAGCUGGUCUGAGAGGAUGAUCAGCCACACUGGAACUGAGACACGGUCCAGACUCCUACGGGAGGCAGCAGUGGGGAAUAUUGGACAAAGGGCGCAAGCCUGAUCCAGCCAUACCGCGUGGGUGAAGAAGGCCUUCGGGUUGUAAAGCCCUUUUGUUGGGAAAGAAAAGCAGCAGGUUAAUACCCCGCUGUUCUGACGGUACCCAAAGAAUAAGCACCGGCUAACUUCGUG